UGAGGUAGUAAAGCAAGGCAGAAUGCCAGCAUUUUCUUUCAGUCAGUGUUUGUACCUUUUAAAACAUUUUGCCAAAUCAAAGAGAUGAAUUACUUCACUGUUUCUGGAGUCUGAUGCAACCCUUUUCACUCACUCAGGCUGCAGUCAGCUGGUAUCAUUUUGCAGCCUGGGAGAGCUGUGAUUUACAGUCUGGGGGAUAUGAAUUCAGCAGUUGGAUCACAAGUUUUGGAACUUUCAAAGCACAACAUUGGACGUCUGUUCUUUCAGGAUGCGUUUUGGCAGAUGGCAGUAGCUGAGGAAAUCCACCCAGUCUUCUACCUCCAUUAAGUAUUGGCUGGAGCAUUUCAAGGAAUUGAUAAAAACAGAAGAGGAGUGGAGUACCACACCUAGAACACUUGAGUGCCAGCUCAUGGUGCCCACAAAGAUGGGAUCACGUGGAUGCGAGCAGAAGGAGAUGGGCAGGAAUCACCCCUCUCAGCCACCACGAGCUGACAGGCAGGCUUCACUAUCUCAGAACACUACACCCAAGAAGACCUUCUGAGACUGAAUUACUGCUUUUGUCAGCUUGUCUGCACAUAACAUUAUGUUACCUCUCUUUUCUGAAAAAAUGAACAAAUUUAAAGUAGAAGUUGGAAUGUCAAGAUAUUAAAGUGUGCUCUGAAUACAUAAAAUAGUUGAUUUACUAUAAUCUUUAUUCUAGAUUGAAGAGGUAUUAGAUAGAUCUCACUUUGUUGAACUGUUUUGUUUUGUUGUCUUUGAUGUAUGAAAAAGCUUUUCUUGUACUGCUGAAUGACCAGAAAAGGCAAUGCAGAAAAAAAAAAAUCAGUGUGUCCAUUUGGAGCAGUAUCACAAUGGCAGUAAAACAAAUGGGCUAAUAAGCAGGCUAAUAGCUGUAGACUGGUGUUGUAAUUCUUUUCCUUAUGAUCUCUCUACCGUUUGCUGAUAUUUCCAUUAUAAAGAAACAUGCAUAUUUUCCUUCUGUGAGGAAAUACGUAACAUCAAUAAUAAAGGUUCUUUCUAUUUCAUAUUAAAA
This is a non-coding RNA of Anas platyrhynchos (mallard), 1033 nucleotides long. The record is from RefSeq and is a predicted model, not a curated record. NCBI's taxonomy places the organism in Eukaryota, Metazoa, Chordata, Aves, Anseriformes, Anatidae.